RNAcentral lists this ribosomal RNA (1421 nucleotides) under uncultured bacterium. RNAcentral's name for it is "bacterial SSU rRNA". It matches the Rfam family "Bacterial small subunit ribosomal RNA". The record is from RNAcentral.
AGAGUUUGAUCCUGGCUCAGAACGAACGCUGGUAGCGUGGAUUAGGCAUGCAAGUCGAACGGGAUUGGAGAUGUAGCAAUACAGCUCCAUGAGAGUGGCGGAUUGGGGAGGAACACGUGAGCAACCUGCCCUUGAGUUCGGGAAAACCGUUGGAAACGACGGCUAAUACCGGAUGUGGCGCCCCGUGACAUCACGGGAGCGCUAAAGGGAGCCGCAAGGCUCCCGCUCAUCGAGGGGCUCGCGCAUCAUCAGCUUGUUGGCGGGAUAACGGCCCACCAAGGCAUACGAUUAGCUGGUCUGAGAGGAUGACCAGCCCCACUGGGACUGAGAUACUGCCCAGACUCCUACGGGAGGCUGCAGUCGAGGAUCAUUUGCAAUGGGCGAAAGCCUGACAAUGCGACGCUGCGUGGAGGAUGAAGGCCUUCGGGUUGUAAACUCCUGUCAUAAGGGAACAGGCAAGGGGUGCCAAUACCACCCUUAGUUGAGUGUACUUUAAGAGGAAGCGACGGUUAACUCUGUGCCAGCAGCCGCGGUAAUACAGAGGUCGCCAAGCGUUGUUUCGGAUUUACUUGGGCGUAAAGGGGCGCGUAGGCGGUUACUUGUGUCAGAUGUGAAAUCUCCGGGGCUCCACCCCGGGAAAAGUGGGUUGGAAAACGCGUAAUUCGAGUCGGGGAGAGGGAAUCGGAAUUAGGGGGUAGCGGUGAAAAGCGUUGAUUUCCUAUAAGAACACCGGAGGCGAAGGGCGGAUUCCUUGAAUAGUACUGACGGUGGGGCGCGAAAGUCGGGGGAGCAAACAGGAUUAGAUACCCUGGUAGUCCCGACCUUAAACGGUGUACACUCGGGGUGGGGGCCUUUCACCGGUCCCGUCUCUUAGCUAACGCGUUAAGUGUACCGCCUGGGGAGUACGGCCGCAAGGCUAAAACUCAAAGAAAUUGACGGGGGCCCGCACAAGCAGAGGAGCAUGUGGCUUAAUUCGAUGCAACGCGAAGAACCUUACCUGGAUUUGACAUACAGCUGCACGAUCUAUGAAAGUAGAUCUCCUUCGAGGGUGCUGUACAGGUGCUGCAUGGCUGUCGUCAGUUCGUGCCGUGAGGUGUUUGGUUAAGUCCACCAACGAACGCAACCCCUUUGAUAUGUUGCCAGCGGGUCAAGCCGGGAACUCGUAUCAUACUGCCUGUUUACGCAGGAGGAAGGUGGGGAUGACGUCAAGUCAGUAUGGCCCUUACAUCCAGGGCUGCACACGUGCUACAAUGGCAUAUACAGAGCGACGCAAGACCGCAAGGUGGAGCCAAUCGCAGAGAGUAUGCCUCAGUUCAGAUUGGGGUCUGCAACCCGACCCCAUGAAGUCGGAUUUGCUAGUAACGGCGUAUCAGCUACGACGCCGUGAAUGCAAUCCCGGGCCUUGUACUCACCGCCCGUCA